AAUAGAUACCCUGGUAGUCCACGCCGUAAACGUUGGGCGCUAGAUGUGGGGACCUUUCCACGGUUUCCGUGUCGUAGCUAACGCAUUAAGCGCCCCGCCUGGGGAGUACGGCCGCAAGGCUAAAACUCAAAGGAAUUGACGGGGGCCCGCACAAGCGGCGGAGCAUGCGGAUUAAUUCGAUGCAACGCGAAGAACCUUACCAAGGCUUGACAUAACCGAGAACACCGUAGAAAUACGGGACUCUUUGGACACUCGGUUACAGGUGGUGCAUGGUUGUCGUCAGCUCGUGUCGUGAGAUGUUGGGUUAAGUCCCGCAACGAGCGCAACCCUCGUCGCAUGUUGCCAGCACGUCAUGGUGGGAACUCAUGUGAGACUGCCGGGGUCAACUCGGAGGAAGGUGGGGAUGACGUCAAAUCAUCAUGCCCCUUAUGUCUUGGGCUUCACGCAUGCUACAAUGGCCGGUACAAAGGGCUGCGAUGUCGUAAGGCGGAGCGAAUCCCAAAAAGCCGGUCUCAGUUCGGAUUGAGGUCUGCAACUCG
RNAcentral lists this ribosomal RNA (539 nucleotides) under uncultured bacterium. RNAcentral describes it as "bacterial SSU rRNA". It matches the Rfam family "Bacterial small subunit ribosomal RNA", at positions 777 to 1314 of the family's 1533-position model. The record is from RNAcentral.